This 806-nucleotide ribosomal RNA is filed under the name uncultured bacterium. RNAcentral describes it as "bacterial SSU rRNA". It matches the Rfam family "Bacterial small subunit ribosomal RNA", at positions 8 to 813 of the family's 1533-position model. The record is from RNAcentral.
AGAGUUUGAUCCUGGCUCAGGAUGACCUCUGGCGGCGUGCCUAACACAUGCAAGUCGAACGAAGCGCCCGCGCGGAUUCCCUCGGGAUGAAGCGCGGAUUUCUGAGUGGCGGACGGGUGAGUCACGCGUGGGCAACCUGCCCCGUGCCGGGGGACAACAGCCGGAAACGGCUGCUAAUACCGCAUGAUCCGGAAGGGCCGCAUGGCCUUUCCGGGAAAGCUCCGGCGGCACGGGAUGGGCCCGCGUCUGAUUAGUUUGUUGGCGGGGUAACGGCCCACCAAGACUGCGAUCAGCAGCCGGCCUGAGAGGGCGGCCGGCCACAUUGGGACUGAGACACGGCCCAGACUCCUGCGGGAGGCAGAAGUGGGGAAUAUUGCACAAUGGGGGAAACCCUGAUGCAGCGACGCCGCGUGGGCGACGAAGCGCUCCGGCGCGUAAAGCCCUGUCAGCAGGGAAGAACAAAGACAGUACCUGACCAAGAAGCCCCGGCUAACUACGUGCCAGCAGCCGCGGUAAUACGUAGGGGGCGAGCGUUAUCCGGAUUCACUGGGCGUAAAGGGAGCGCAGGCGGCACGGCAAGUCUGGUGUGAAAGCCCGGGGCCCAACCCCGGGACUGCAUUGGAAACUGCCGGGCUGGAGUGCCGGAGGGGUAAGCGGAAUUCCUGGUGUAGCGGUGAAAUGCGCAGAUAUCAGGAAGAACACCGGUGGCGUAGGCGGCUUACUGGACGGCAACUGACGCUGAGGCUCGAAAGCGUGGGGAGCAAACAGGAUUAGAUACCCUGGUAGUCCACGCCGUAAACGAUGAA